CAGAGAAGGGAUGCUCCGAGGUGCUGGAGCCCGGGUGCCUUGUUGUAUCCCCACCUCAAGCCGAAGGGGUUUGCGCCAGCUGAGUGCUCAGAUGGACGCAGCAGCAGCAGCAGGACUGAGCUCCAGAGCUCGUAGGCCCCUCCUGGAAGGCCAGCUGUUCACCCCUCUUCGCCACUCCAUUGGGCAGAUUCUGGAUGAAACCUUCCAGGUAGCCACGUGGGAAGCAGAUGCACUCACACUUCGCACUAACAGAGGCCUCGUGCACGCGGCUGUCAUGGAACUCCUCACAGGGCCUCUGACUCUCUCCCCAGCCAGGAGGCCUGAGAACAGAGCAAACUUCCAACUGGCCCUGACGUCAGCAGAGAGUCCCUGAGGCCUGGGGUUUGCCUGGGAGAGAGGAGCAUCACUUCCUGGAAGAAGACGGGAGGUUGAGGAAUCUGACCAAGGCCCCUCCACCGAGGGCAGCUGCUACCAAGACCCGAGGCUCUUAGUGAAAACUGAGGUGGCCUCCCUAGCACGGGAAGACGCAUCUCGCCCCUUUUUGAUCCCAUCCUGGGACUUAAGUUGAGUUGCCUGCAGGAAACAGCUCUGAGCAAACACCAAGGACCUCUUCUCACCUCGGGAGACAAGCCGACAGUUUUGCAAUAUGGUGAGUUUGUCCACAGAAGGAGAUAUAGCCUAUCCCCACUUGGGCAGCAGGCUUAUCUUGUCACGGUUUUAUUGCUCAGUUAUGAAUAAACUGCUUACAGUGAUCUUUGUGAGUUUCACA
This 769-nucleotide long non-coding RNA is filed under the name Capra hircus (goat). RNAcentral describes it as "lncRNA (ENSCHIG00000003973.1)". Lineage: Eukaryota; Metazoa; Chordata; Mammalia; Artiodactyla; Bovidae. The record is from RNAcentral.